This 253-nucleotide ribosomal RNA is filed under the name uncultured bacterium. RNAcentral's name for it is "partial 16S ribosomal RNA". It matches the Rfam family "Bacterial small subunit ribosomal RNA", at positions 524 to 776 of the family's 1533-position model. The record is from RNAcentral.
UACGGAGAGGGCAAGCGUUGUUCGGAUUUACUGGGCUUAAAGGGCACGUAGGCGGGUCCUCAAGUCGGUUGUGAAAGCCCGGAGCUCAACUCCGGAAUUGCUUCCGAUACUGUGGGUCUUGAGAACGAGAGGGGAGAGUGGAACUUCUGGUGGAGCGGUGAAAUGCGUAGAUAUCAGAAGGAACACCGGUGGCGAAAGCGACUCUCUGGCUCGUUGCUGACGAUAAGGUGCGAAAGCUAGGGGAGCAAACGGG